AGUGAACGCUGGCGGUAUGCCUAACACAUGCAAGUCGAACGGCAGCACAGUAAGAGCUUGCUCUUACGGGUGGCGAGUGGCGGACGGUGGAGGAAUACAUCGGAAUCUACUUUUUCGUGGGGGAUAACGUAGGGAAACUUACUCUAAUACCGCAUACAACCUACGGGUGAAAGCAGGGGAUCUUCUGACCUUGCGCGAUUGAAUGAGCCUAUGUCGGAUUCGCUAGUUGGCGGGGUAAAGGGCCACCAAGGCCACGAUGCGUAGCUGGUCUGAGAGGAUGAUCAGCCACACUGGAACUGAGACACGGUCCAGACUCCUACGGGAGGCCGCGGUGGGGAAUAUUGGACAAUGGGGGAAAGCCUGAUCCAGCCAUACCGGGUGGGUGAAGAAGGCCUUCGGGUUGUAAAGCCCUUUUGUUGGGAAAGAAAAGCAGCAGGUUAAUACCCCGCUGUUCUGACGGUACCCAAAGAAUAAGCACCGGCUAACUUCGUG
Molecule: ribosomal RNA, 492 nt
Filed under: uncultured bacterium
Lineage: Bacteria
Description: partial 16S ribosomal RNA
Rfam family: Bacterial small subunit ribosomal RNA
Source: RNAcentral